RNAcentral lists this ribosomal RNA (552 nucleotides) under Pichia manshurica. RNAcentral describes it as "partial large subunit ribosomal RNA". It matches the Rfam family "Eukaryotic large subunit ribosomal RNA", at positions 77 to 657 of the family's 3401-position model. Lineage: Eukaryota; Fungi; Ascomycota; Pichiomycetes; Pichiales; Pichiaceae. The record is from RNAcentral.
GCCCAGUAGCGGCGAGUGAGCGGCAAGAGCUCAGAUUUGAAAUCGUGUUUCGGCACGAGUUGUAGAGUGUAGGCGGGAGUCUCUGUGGAGCGCGGUGUCCAAGUCCCUUGGAACAGGGUGCCUGAGAGGGUGAGAGCCCCGUAGGGUGCUGCGCGAAGCUUUUGAGGCCCUGCUGACGAGUCGAGUUGUUUGGGAAUGCAGCUCCAAGCGGGUGGUAAAUUCCAUCUAAGGCUAAAUAUUGGCGAGAGACCGAUAGCGAACAAGUACUGUGAAGGAAAGAUGAAAAGCACUUUGAAAAGAGAGUGAAACAGCACGUGAAAUUGUUGAAAGGGAAGGGUAUUGGGCUCGACAUGGGGGGUGCGCACCGCUGUCUCUUGUAGGCGGCGCUCUGGGCGCCCUCUGGGCCAGCAUCGGUUCCUGCUGCGGGAGAAGGGGCUCCGGAAAGUGGCUCUUCGGAGUGUUAUAGCCGGGGCCAGAUGCCGCGUGUGGGGACCGAGGACUGCGGCUUCUGUCUCGGAUGCUGGCAUAACGGCGCAAUACCGCCCGUCUUGA